AUUAAAGAUAUUAUCCCCUUGUAGUGUAGUUUAAUAACUAUCUACAUAAUAACUUAAUAUAAAGUAUAAUAGUUUAUAUUUUAUAAUAUGACAUUAACAAUUUUGUUUAAUAUUUGAAAAUGUUAGUAUUAGUAAUAUUAGUAUAUGUGCUAAAGGAACUCGGCAAAAAACCACUCAACUGUUUAUCAAAAACAUAGCUAUAUGAAUUAAUAUAUAGUUAUUUCUGCUCAAUGACUUAAAUAGCCGCAGUACUCUGACUGUGCAAAGGUAGCAUAAUCAGUUGGCUUUUAAUUAGAGUCUGGUAUGAACGAAAAUAUGGGUAGUAACUGUCUUAGCACAUUUUUUCGAACUUAUUAAACACGUGCAAAUGCUUGUAAUUUAACAAUAGACGAGAAGACCCUAGAAACUUGGACAAGUUUUUGUUGGGGCGACAGAAUUACACUUAACUAAUCUUAUAAUACACGACGUGAUGUUGAAAGAAUAAGUUACUCUAGGGAUAACAGCAUAAUUUUAUUAGUUUGUGACCUCGAUGUUGGACUAGGUACUAUACCCUUAAGGCAAGGAUAUAUUAUGCUCUGUUCGAGCAAAAUUACCUACAU
Molecule: ribosomal RNA, 599 nt
Filed under: Helix pomatia (Roman snail)
Lineage: Eukaryota; Metazoa; Mollusca; Gastropoda; Stylommatophora; Helicidae
Description: partial large subunit ribosomal RNA
Source: RNAcentral